RNAcentral lists this unclassified non-coding RNA (614 nucleotides) under Hevea brasiliensis (rubber tree). The record is from RNAcentral. Lineage: Eukaryota; Viridiplantae; Streptophyta; Magnoliopsida; Malpighiales; Euphorbiaceae.
CUUUAUACAGCCAAGAGUCUUUUGUUGAAAGUAUAUCCAUAAGGCACUGAACAAGUUUGUAGGAUAGAACAAUUGGAAACAAAGAUGCAGGUAAUCUUGGAAGGAGCAGAAGCAGAAUAUCAAAUGCCAAAUGCUUACGAUCAUGAGAUGAAAGAAGAAGUGAUCCCUCAAUGAUAACCUCACAAAAAUUCUGAAUAAUCUUUGAAGUUUCCUCUUCAGAAGAGCUAGGCUUGCGACCUUUCUUAUGCUUCUUAAGAGAAUUAGAAGCUGACACCAUAUCUUCAACUUGCAAAACAGCAUCAGGUAAAAGAAUACUUACCAGGACAGGCCAGACACUGUGAAUUCUUGGUUGACAGAAAGUUGAUUCCUUCAAGCAGUUAACAAGUGAGGACAAAUGGUCUGAUGCAAAAAGUCUGCUAGGGGUAAAUGGAUAUGGCAAAAUAUUGCUGAAUAUCACACUAUCAACAGAAAUUUUAUCACGAAUUUUCAAGGCUAAAAGCAGCGCAUCAGGAUUUCCAACAUCUGUAGCUCCCUCAAACCACUCACGAAGACCAGGAGUCUCAAGUACAUGAUUCAGCAAGACAUCAGUUGGCAACUUUUCAACCAAAUCUAAA